UUCUUCUUCUUCUUCUUCUUCUUCUACUACAUCUUUGAGUUUGCAUCCUGAUCCUGAAUCUGUUUCCUUCAGUAGAAGUUCUAGUCACUCGAGUUCUGGGUUUGGCCGAUAUGUAAGCAGACGCAGAAGAGGUUUGGAUUUGGAAGUUGAGAAUGGGACCGAAAGGUGGUGAUUCGAAAUUGAAAAGCACAAUGGUACUCAGGUUCGAUUUUUAUUUUUUCAUCAAUGUAUAUAGAAUUUAAUUAAAUAGGCAAGAAUUUGGUAUUGAAUUCUAGUUCUAUUCCUGAUCAAGGCUUGCAAAGACCAAAGAGAAUCUUUUUAAUUUUAAUCAGAUGGGGACACAAGCAGAAAAUUUGGUUGUCCCUUCAUAUGGCAAAAUUUUGUUGUGGUUCUGGAGAGAUGGGAAAGACCUAAAAAUUGCAAAGUUUGUUUGAAUUAGGAAAAUUUGCAAAUGUAGAAAUGGCACGUUGAUAUUUGUAAGCUUAAUUGUUUUUCUUUUUCUUUCUUUGGCAUUCAUUCUAUGAAUUCCCUCCCCUUCCCCCACGGGAUACACACAAAGACGCACACUUUUAUGUUAUUGGAAUAUGCUGGAUUGAAAGGUUAUUUAAGUUUAGCUUGUCUAGCGAUUAUUUCUUGCCUUUUACUGGCUGAUGCGGAUAAUGACUCUUUAAAGUUGGAGUUAUUAGGCCUGGCUAAUGCAAAUGGAUUAAUCAUAUUUGCGGCCUAAUCAUGUUACUGCCUGCUGGUAGUUCAAUGUUUAUAAUGGCAUGUCUGAUCCUUUUCUUGACAAAACGACGUGCUGCUGGAAUUGUGGCUCAAAAAGCACCAAUUUCAUCAUGUGCCUACUUUUGAGAGCUCUUUUGCCUUUUUCUUUGCUUGUUGUUGGUGGCUUUGGAUCUGUAAUUGAAGCAGUGAAACCCAUUAACCCAAUGAGCAUCUGUCUCUUUUUUAUUAGGAAUUGCAAUAAAA
RNAcentral lists this unclassified non-coding RNA (969 nucleotides) under Hevea brasiliensis (rubber tree). Lineage: Eukaryota; Viridiplantae; Streptophyta; Magnoliopsida; Malpighiales; Euphorbiaceae. The record is from RNAcentral.